Molecule: long non-coding RNA, 513 nt
Organism: Alligator mississippiensis (American alligator)
Lineage: Eukaryota; Metazoa; Chordata; Crocodylia; Alligatoridae
Exons: 3
Source: RefSeq, a predicted model, not a curated record
UAGAGCAGUGUAAAGAACAUUUACUCAGCGAGGGCUAUUUCUAUGCCAAGUUUCAGUUCUACCCACAUCAAUCUUGGCUGCAGAGAUGCAUGAAAAAAAGUCUCCAGAUCUUUUUCUUAAUAAUGAGAAGGUAUAUAUUUUACUCUCCUUAUAUGCAAAAGGAGCUGAAUCAGUUUUGCUCAGUUUUUCAAAAGAAGUUCACCUUCAGAGAGAGAUUAUUCCAGCCUCUCUUCCACUUGAAAAACAUCAGUUAAAAAUAGCUGAAGAAUGGAAAAGGAAUAAGUGAAGAUCACCUCCACCCCACCACCUUUCUGUCAUGAACGCAUGGAAAAUCCUUUAUGCAAGCAACAAGGAGGCAUCUUGGACAGGAAGGAGCAAUAGUGAGUAGGAAUCAGGAUCACUGUCAUUGACACCUUCAGGCAACACCAGAGGUGAAGGUAUCAGCAAUAACACUACACUUCUGCAAGUCACUUUGAAUUUGGAAUUCCUGUCAACAAGUAUGACUGGCUCCCU